ACCCGGGCUAGCUGGGAGAGCCGCAGGUGCCCGCGCAUGAGCACAACAUAGUUUGGACUCUGGGUCCACCUGCUGGUGCAGUUUUCCUUCUGCUUUUCUUUUUAGUGAGCAUUCGCUGCCGCCAGGCUUACUCGCAUUUCCCAGCAGUGUGGGGAUCAGCAGGAGUGGGUCCAGAUGCAAAGUGUAGCAAGGAUUCCCCAAAUAAGAAUGGGAGAGGGGUGGUUAAUCAAGAAGGCAGUUCCUGAUGGGUCAGGGAGACUGGAAGCUGUUUUUGUUUUUGUUUUUGUUUUUGUUUCCAUUUCAGGACACAAAAGGAACCCAGGGCUGGGGCAGAGGAUUUCUGUGGUUCUGAGAUUCGGUGCAGAAUUGACAUCAUGGCUCUCCAGGGUCCGUGCCUCACUUUUACAAGCAGAAAAGAGGACAGUCGCCUGCUAGAAGCUGUGGCCUUGCAGGACACUUCUUGGCCAGUGCUUCCCUCCGCCCCCUAUCUCAGCUUCUUGAGGACUCUGCCAGCAGGAGAGGACUGAGGACUGUGCCUCAGCAGGACCAGUGCUUCCGCCUAUCUGCUGCCAGGAUCACAUUAGGGCUUCCUGUGUCUGCGGCUCACGUCUUGUCUUGGGGACAUACCUGUGAUGAUACUGAACAAGUUGAGGCCAUCGCCUGGGGACUAACUCACUGCUAAAUGACGUCAAUAAACCCCUUUGAGGUUGCUGCAGACAGGCCUCCUUGGCUGUCAGCACCAGGGAAUGGCUCACCAUGGCAAGUUAGAGAACAGUGCUACUCUAGCCAAGGUCCCUGGGUCUGAUGACCUUCAUUUACAGGGACAAGCCCAGCCCCAACCAGCUUUCUAGAAGUACAGUUUGACUGUGAUUUUUUUUUUUUUUUUUAAAUCGAGGUUUGAUUAAAUCAAGGAAAAUUUAUAGAUCUUAA
This is a long non-coding RNA of Leopardus geoffroyi (Geoffroy's cat), 930 nucleotides long. RefSeq lists it as uncharacterized. The transcript has 2 exons. NCBI's taxonomy places the organism in Eukaryota, Metazoa, Chordata, Mammalia, Carnivora, Felidae. The record is from RefSeq and is a predicted model, not a curated record.